RNAcentral lists this ribosomal RNA (423 nucleotides) under uncultured bacterium. Its description in RNAcentral is "bacterial SSU rRNA". It matches the Rfam family "Bacterial small subunit ribosomal RNA", at positions 355 to 775 of the family's 1533-position model. The record is from RNAcentral.
UGAGGAAUAUUGGGCAAUGGGCGCAAGCCUGACCCAGCCAUGCCGCGUGAAGGAUGAAUGCCCUAUGGGUUGUAAACUUCUUUUUUACGGGAAGAAACUCUUGAACGUGUUCGGGAUUGACGGUACCGUAUGAAUAAGCAUCGGCUAACUCCGUGCCAGCAGCCGCGGUAAUACGGAGGAUGCAAGCGUUAUCCGGAUUUAUUGGGUUUAAAGGGUGCGUAGGCGGGAUAAUAAGUCAGUGGUGAAAGCCUGUAGCUUAACUAUAGAAUUGCCAUUGAUACUGUUGUUCUUGAGUACAGUUGAGGUAGGCGGAAUGUGUAAUGUAGCGGUGAAAUGCUUAGAUAUUACACAGAACACCGAUUGCGAAGGCAGCUUACUAAGCUGGUACUGACGCUGAGGCACGAAAGCGUGGGGAGCAAACAG